CAAGUCGAGCGGUAACACAGAGAGCUUGCUCUCGGGUGACGAGCGGCGGACGGGUGAGUAAUGUCUGGGAAACUGCCUGAUGGAGGGGGAUAACUACUGGAAACGGUAGCUAAUACCGCAUAACGUCGCAAGACCAAAGAGGGGGACCUUCGGGCCUCUUGCCAUCAGAUGUGCCCAGAUGGGAUUAGCUAGUAGGUGGGGUAACGGCUCACCUAGGCGACGAUCCCUAGCUGGUCUGAGAGGAUGACCAGCCACACUGGAACUGAGACACGGUCCAGACUCCUACGGGAGGCAGCAGUGGGGAAUAUUGCACAAUGGGCGCAAGCCUGAUGCAGCCAUGCCGCGUGUAUGA
Molecule: ribosomal RNA, 352 nt
Filed under: uncultured Enterobacter sp.
Lineage: Bacteria; Pseudomonadati; Pseudomonadota; Gammaproteobacteria; Enterobacterales; Enterobacteriaceae
Description: bacterial SSU rRNA
Rfam family: Bacterial small subunit ribosomal RNA
Source: RNAcentral